Molecule: ribosomal RNA, 932 nt
Filed under: Acinetobacter sp. 14_SBR2
Lineage: Bacteria; Pseudomonadati; Pseudomonadota; Gammaproteobacteria; Moraxellales; Moraxellaceae
Description: bacterial SSU rRNA
Rfam family: Bacterial small subunit ribosomal RNA
Source: RNAcentral
CACAUGCAGUCGAGCGGAGAGAGGUAGCUUGCUACUGAUCUUAGCGGCGGACGGGUGAGUAAUACUUAGGAAUCUGCCUAUUAGUGGGGGACAACAUCUCGAAAGGGAUGCUAAUACCGCAUACGUCCUACGGGAGAAAGCAGGGGAUCUUUAUGACCUUGCGCUAAUAGAUGAGCCUAAGUCGGAUUAGCUAGUUGGUGGGGUAAAGGCCUACCAAGGCGACGAUCUGUAGCGGGUCUGAGAGGAUGAUCCGCCACACUGGGACUGAGACACGGCCCAGACUCCUACGGGAGGCAGCAGUGGGGAAUAUUGGACAAUGGGGGGAACCCUGAUCCAGCCAUGCCGCGUGUGUGAAGAAGGCCUUAUGGUUGUAAAGCACUUUAAGCGAGGAGGAGGCUUACCUGGUUAAUACCCAGGAUAAGUGGACGUUACUCGCAGAAUAAGCACCGGCUAACUCUGUGCCAGCAGCCGCGGUAAUACAGAGGGUGCAAGCGUUAAUCGGAUUUACUGGGCGUAAAGCGCGCGUAGGCGGCCAAUUAAGUCAAAUGUGAAAUCCCCGAGCUUAACUUGGGAAUUGCAUUCGAUACUGUUUGGCUAGAGUGUGGGAGAGGAUGGUAGAAUUCCAGGUGUAGCGGUGAAAUGCGUAGAGAUCUGGAGGAAUACCGAUGGCGAAGGCAGCCAUCUGGCCUAACACUGACGCUGAGGUGCGAAAGCAUGGGGAGCAAACAGGAUUAGAUACCCUGGUAGUCCAUGCCGUAAACGAUGUCUACUAGCCGUUGGGGCCUUUGAGGCUUUAGUGGCGCAGCUAACGCGAUAAGUAGACCGCCUGGGGGAGUACGGUCGCAAGACUAAAACUCAAAUGAAUUGACGGGGGCCCGCACAAGCGGUGGAGCAUGUGGUUNAAUUCGAUGCAACGCGANAAAACCUUUACA